Long non-coding RNA from Xiphophorus hellerii (green swordtail), 507 nucleotides. RefSeq lists it as uncharacterized. The record is from RefSeq and is a predicted model, not a curated record. Lineage: Eukaryota; Metazoa; Chordata; Actinopteri; Cyprinodontiformes; Poeciliidae. The transcript is spliced from 2 exons.
AUGUAAAAAAUAUUAUUAAACACUUUAAUUUUGCAGAAAUGUAAACCAUGAAGCUGCAGUGAAGAUAAAUCAGAAUAUCAUCAUCAUAAGCUGAGACCUUCAUUGUUUUAAGCUGAUGUUCCGGCGUUCUGUCCGCCGCCGGCCGCCUCCGGCUCUCCUGUCCAGAGAAUCUGUUUGUUUCUUCCAGACUCCCGUCAGCCUCCUGAGGACAGCAUGUCUCCGGAUCCGAACACUGACUCUGCAGCUCUGCAACAACAGAGGCAGAAAAUCAACUCAUGUUACAAGAAUCAAACAGAUGAUUCAUCCAAAACCUCCCUGAUCUUCAUGUUUCAGUUAUUACCCAUAAAUCUCUGGAUGUGUGCGGUCCUGCCCGGAUCCUGAACCGUCUGUCAGGAUCUUGUGGACUUAAUGUUUCUAUGUGGACUAAAAACUUUGUGUAUUAUAAAAGUUACUGAUAAUAAAUGAGCAUCUGAAGCUAAAACUGCUGCAAAAUACUGCAGAAGAAAA